This 162-nucleotide non-coding RNA is filed under the name Rhodospirillaceae bacterium. Its description in RNAcentral is "6S RNA". It matches the Rfam family "6S / SsrS RNA". From Rfam's summary of the family: E. coli 6S RNA was the first non coding RNA to be sequenced, but its function was unknown until recently. It consists of 184 nucleotides that fold into an extended hairpin structure with a large single-stranded internal bulge. The 6S RNA specifically associates with RNA polymerase holoenzyme containing the sigma70 specificity factor. The record is from RNAcentral. RNAcentral also lists the same sequence under 2 other names. Lineage: Bacteria; Pseudomonadati; Pseudomonadota; Alphaproteobacteria; Rhodospirillales; Rhodospirillaceae.
AGGUGACUGCGAUAUGCGUGUGGUCAUACUAUAUCCCAGGGGCGAUAAUUAUUAUCUCGGGAGCUGUCACUGAUAGGGCCGUGGCCCUGUUAUUAACGGCGCCCACCUAGUGGUUUGGCCGCUAGUGGAUAAGACAGACAGUACGGUACUUGUGGUGCCUCU